This 384-nucleotide ribosomal RNA is filed under the name Hyalomma rufipes. RNAcentral's name for it is "partial large subunit ribosomal RNA". The stretch from base 240 to 384 matches the Rfam family "Bacterial large subunit ribosomal RNA", at positions 2473 to 2618 of the family's 2925-position model. Lineage: Eukaryota; Metazoa; Arthropoda; Arachnida; Ixodida; Ixodidae. The record is from RNAcentral.
GAAUGCUAAAAGAAUGGAAAUUUAAAAAAAAACUUUUUUAAAAAUAAAAAUUGAAUUUUUUUUAAUUUGUGCAAAAACAAUUAUAUUUAUUAAAGACAAGAAGACCCUAAGAAUUUAAGAUUUUACAAUUAAAAAGUUUUUUUUUUAAAAUCUUGAUUGGGGCGAUCAAAAAAUAUUAAUAACUUUUUAAAAUUUAAAUUGAUCUAUUAUUAAUAAACUAAUGAAUUAAAUACUCUAGGGAUAACAGCGUAAUAAUUUUUGAUAGAUCUUAUUGACAAAAUAGUUUGCGACCUCGAUGUUGGAUUAGGAUUCUUUUUUAAUGAAGAAGUUAAAAAAAGAAGUUUGUUCAACUUUUAAAUUCCUACUUGAUCUGAGUUCAGACCG